CCUACGGGAGGCAGCAGUGAGGAAUAUUGGUCAAUGGACGAGAGUCUGAACCAGCCAAGUAGCGUGAAGGAUGACUGCCCUAUGGGUUGUAAACUUCUUUUAUAUGGGAAUAAAAUGUUCCACGUGUGGGAUUUUGUAUGUACCAUAUGAAUAAGGAUCGGCUAACUCCGUACCAGCAGCCGCGGUAAUACGGAGGAUCCGAGCGUUAUCCGGAUUUAUUGGGUUUAAAGGGAGCGUAGGUGGAUUGUUAAGUCAGUUGUGAAAGUUUGCGGCUCAACCGUAAAAUUGCAGUUGAAACUGGCAGUCGUGAGUACAGUAGAGGUGGGCGGAAGUCGUGGUGUAGCGGUGAAAUGCUUAGAUAUCACGAAGAACUCCGAUUGCGAAGGCAGCUCACUGGACUGCAACUGACACUGAGGCUCGAAAGUGUGGGUAUCAAACAGGAUUAGAUACCCGAGUAGUC
RNAcentral lists this ribosomal RNA (460 nucleotides) under uncultured bacterium. RNAcentral's name for it is "partial 16S ribosomal RNA". It matches the Rfam family "Bacterial small subunit ribosomal RNA", at positions 338 to 795 of the family's 1533-position model. The record is from RNAcentral.